RNAcentral lists this unclassified non-coding RNA (339 nucleotides) under soil metagenome. RNAcentral describes it as "partial contains 5.8S ribosomal RNA, internal transcribed spacer 2, and large subunit ribosomal RNA". The stretch from base 1 to 120 matches the Rfam family "5.8S ribosomal RNA", at positions 35 to 154 of the family's 154-position model. The record is from RNAcentral.
GAUGAAGAACGUAUCGAAAUGCGAUAAGUAGUGUGAAUUGCAGAAUUCAGUGAAUCAUCGAAUCUUUGAACGCACAUUGCGCCCUUUGGUAUUCCUUAGGGCAUGCCUGUUCGAGCGUCAUUUAAACCUUCAAGCUCAGCUUGGUGAUGGGCGACUGUCCCCCCCCCCUCGCGGGGGGGACUCGCCUCAAAAACAUUGGCGGCCGGUACAUUGGCUUCGAGCGCAGCAGAAACGCGGUCUCGAGCCCGGUGGAUCGGCUCCCAUAAGCCUAUUCUUUUAUUUUGACCUCGGAUCAGGUAGGGAUACCCGCUGAACUUAAGCAUAUCAAUAAGCGGAGGA